This 1618-nucleotide long non-coding RNA is filed under the name Homo sapiens (human). Its description in RNAcentral is "long non-coding RNA NONHSAT157365.1". Lineage: Eukaryota; Metazoa; Chordata; Mammalia; Primates; Hominidae. The record is from RNAcentral.
CUUAGUUUCAAUGAUUUUAAUGAGAACAUUAAGAAAAGAUUAUGCUCGGUACAGUAAAGAGGAAGAAAUGGAUGAUAUGGAUAGAGACCUAGGAGAUGAAUAUGGAUGGAAACAGGUGCAUGGAGAUGUAUUUAGACCAUCAAGUCACCCACUGAUAUUUUCCUCUCUGAUUGGUUCUGGAUGUCAGAUAUUUGCUGUGUCUCUCAUCGUUAUUAUUGUUGCAAUGAUAGAAGAUUUAUAUACUGAGAGGGGAUCAAUGCUCAGUACAGCCAUAUUUGUCUAUGCUGCUACGUCUCCAGUGAAUGGUUAUUUUGGAGGAAGUCUGUAUGCUAGACAAGGAGGAAGGAGAUGGAUAAAGCAGAUGUUUAUUGGGGCAUUCCUUAUCCCAGCUAUGGUGUGUGGCACUGCCUUCUUCAUCAAUUUCAUAGCCAUUUAUUACCAUGCUUCAAGAGCCAUUCCUUUUGGAACAAUGGUGGCCGUUUGUUGCAUCUGUUUUUUUGUUAUUCUUCCUCUAAAUCUUGUUGGUACAAUACUUGGCCGAAAUCUGUCAGGUCAGCCCAACUUUCCUUGUCGUGUCAAUGCUGUGCCUCGUCCUAUACCGGAGAAAAAAUGGUUCAUGGAGCCUGCGGUUAUUGUUUGCCUGGGUGGAAUUUUACCUUUUGGUUCAAUCUUUAUUGAAAUGUAUUUCAUCUUCACGUCUUUCUGGGCAUAUAAGAUCUAUUAUGUCUAUGGCUUCAUGAUGCUGGUGCUGGUUAUCCUGUGCAUUGUGACUGUCUGUGUGACUAUUGUGUGCACAUAUUUUCUACUAAAUGCAGAAGAUUACCGGUGGCAAUGGACAAGUUUUCUCUCUGCUGCAUCAACUGCAAUCUAUGUUUACAUGUAUUCCUUUUACUACUAUUUUUUCAAAACAAAGAUGUAUGGCUUAUUUCAAACAUCAUUUUACUUUGGAUAUAUGGCGGUAUUUAGCACAGCCUUGGGGAUAAUGUGUGGAGCGAUUGGUUACAUGGGAACAAGUGCCUUUGUCCGAAAAAUCUAUACUAAUGUGAAAAUUGACUAGAGACCCAAGAAAACCUGGAACUUUGGAUCAAUUUCUUUUUCAUAGGGGUGGAACUUGCACAGCAAAAACAAACAAACGCAAGAAGAGAUUUGGGCUUUAACACACUGGGUACUUUGUGGGUCUCUCUUUCGUCGGUGGCUUAAAGUAACAUCUAUUUCCAUUGAUCCUAGGUUCUUCCUGACUGCUUUCUCCAACUGUUCACAGCAAAUGCUUGGAUUUUAUGCAGUAGGCAUUACUACAGUACAUGGCUAAUCUUCCCAAAAACUAGCUCAUUAAAGAUGAAAUAGACCAGCUCUCUUCAGUGAAGAGGACAAAUAGUUUAUUUAAAGCAUUUGUUCCAAUAAAAUAAAUAGAGGGAAACUUGGAUGCUAAAAUUACAUGAAUAGGAAUCUUCCUGGCACUUAGUGUUUCUAUGUUAUUGAAAAAUGAUGUUCCAGAAAGAUUACUUUUUUCCUCUUAUUUUUACUGCCAUUGUCGACCUAUUGUGGGACAUUUUUAUAUAUUGAAUCUGGGUUCUUUUUUGACUUUUUUUUUUUCCCAAUCCAACAGCAUCCUUUUUUU